Long non-coding RNA from Eurytemora carolleeae, 127 nucleotides. RefSeq lists it as uncharacterized. The record is from RefSeq and is a predicted model, not a curated record. NCBI's taxonomy places the organism in Eukaryota, Metazoa, Arthropoda, Copepoda, Calanoida, Temoridae. The transcript has 3 exons.
AAGGGAACAGAAGGAGCUGUUACUCUUGAAGCCUGGGCUUCAAAGAUCAAAUUUUAUUUUGAGGAUUACUUCUGGGUUGGAUCAAAGGGAGGAGCAAAGGUGGAACCAAACCCUCAUCUAGGUAUCU